This 298-nucleotide ribosomal RNA is filed under the name uncultured soil bacterium. RNAcentral's name for it is "partial 16S ribosomal RNA". It matches the Rfam family "Bacterial small subunit ribosomal RNA", at positions 27 to 351 of the family's 1533-position model. The record is from RNAcentral.
GAACGAACGCUGGCGGCAUGCCUAAUACAUGCAAGUCGAACGAACUCUUCGGAGUUAGUGGCGCACGGGUGCGUAACGCGUGGGAAUCUGCCCCUUGGUUCGGAAUAACAGUUGGAAACGACUGCUAAUACCGGAUGAUGACGGAAGUCCAAAGAUUUAUCGCCAAGGGAUGAGCCCGCGUAGGAUUAGCUAGUUGGUGAGGUAAAGGCUCACCAAGGCAACGAUCCUUAGCUGGUCUGAGAGGAUGAUCAGCCACACGUGGGACUGAGACGACGGCCCAGACUCCGUACGGGAGCAG